GUUUCCAUAGUGUGGUGGUUAUCACGUUCGCCUCACACGCGAAAGGUCCUCGGUCCCACACCGGGUGGGAACG
This 73-nucleotide transfer RNA is filed under the name Scleropages formosus (Asian bonytongue). It matches the Rfam family "tRNA". Rfam says of the family: Transfer RNA (tRNA) molecules are approximately 80 nucleotides in length. Their secondary structure includes four short double-helical elements and three loops (D, anti-codon, and T loops). Further hydrogen bonds mediate the characteristic L-shaped molecular structure. tRNAs have two regions of fundamental functional importance: the anti-codon, which is responsible for specific mRNA codon recognition, and the 3' end, to which the tRNAs corresponding amino acid is attached (by aminoacyl-tRNA synthetases). tRNAs cope with the degeneracy of the genetic code in two manners: having more than one tRNA (with a specific anti-codon) for a particular amino acid; and 'wobble' base-pairing, i.e. permitting non-standard base-pairing at the 3rd anti-codon position. The record is from Rfam by way of RNAcentral. Lineage: Eukaryota; Metazoa; Chordata; Actinopteri; Osteoglossiformes; Osteoglossidae.